GACGAACGCUGGCGGCGUGCCUAAUACAUGCAAGUAGAACGCUGAAGCUUGGUGCUUGCACCGAGCGGAUGAGUUGCGAACGGGUGAGUAACGCGUAGGUAACCUGCCUGGUAGCGGGGGAUAACUAUUGGAAACGAUAGCUAAUACCGCAUAAAAUGGAUUAUCGCAUAAUAAUCGAUUGAAAGGUGCAAAUGCAUCACUACCAGAUGGACCUGCGUUGUAUUAGCUAGUUGGUGGGGUAACGGCUCACCAAGGCGACGAUACAUAGCCGACCUGAGAGGGUGAUCGGCCACACUGGGACUGAGACACGGCCCAGACUCCUACGGGAGGCAGCAGUAGGGAAUCUUCGGCAAUGGACGGAAGUCUGACCGAGCAACGCCGCGUGAGUGAAGAAGGUUUUCGGAUCGUAAAGCUCUGUUGUAAGAGAAGAACGAGUGUGAGAGUGGAAAGUUCACACUGUGACGGUAUCUUACCAGAAAGGGACGGCUAACUACGUGCCAGCAGCCGCGGUAAUACGUAGGUCCCGAGCGUUGUCCGGAUUUAUUGGGCGUAAAGCGAGCGCAGGCGGUUAGAUAAGUCUGAAGUUAAAGGCUGUGGCUUAACCAUAGUACGCUUUGGAAACUGUUUAACUUGAGUGCAAGAGGGGAGAGUGGAACUCCAUGUGUAGCGGUGAAAUGCGUAGAUAUAUGGAGGAACACCGGUGGCGAAAGCGGCUCUCUGGCUUGUAACUGACGCUGAGGCUCGAAAGCGUGGGGAGCAAACAGG
RNAcentral lists this ribosomal RNA (765 nucleotides) under uncultured Streptococcus sp. Its description in RNAcentral is "bacterial SSU rRNA". It matches the Rfam family "Bacterial small subunit ribosomal RNA", at positions 28 to 776 of the family's 1533-position model. Lineage: Bacteria; Bacillati; Bacillota; Bacilli; Lactobacillales; Streptococcaceae. The record is from RNAcentral.